UGAGGGGGAUAUUUGGGGGCAAUGGGGGCAACCCUGACCCAGCGACGCCGCGUGAGGGAAGACGGUCUUCGGAUUGUAAACCUCUGUCUUUGGGGACGAAAAAGGACGGUACCCAAGGAGGAAGCUCCGGCUAACUACGUGCCAGCAGCCGCGGUAAUACGUAGGGAGCGAGCGUUGUCCGGAAUUACUGGGUGUAAAGGGAGCGUAGGCGGGAAAACAAGUUGGAUGUGAAAACUGUGGGCUUAACCUGCAGACUGCAUUCAAAACUGUUUUCUUGAGUGAAGUAGAGGCAAGCGGAAUUCCUAGUGUAGCGGUGAAAUGCGUAGAUAUUAGGAAGAACACCAGUGGCGAAGGCGGCUUACUGGACGGUAACUGAUGUUGAGGCUCGAAAGCGUGGGGAGCAAACAGGAUUAGAUACCCUGGUAGU
Molecule: ribosomal RNA, 427 nt
Filed under: uncultured Anaerotruncus sp.
Lineage: Bacteria; Bacillati; Bacillota; Clostridia; Eubacteriales; Oscillospiraceae
Description: bacterial SSU rRNA
Rfam family: Bacterial small subunit ribosomal RNA
Source: RNAcentral